The sequence is a ribosomal RNA, 563 nucleotides long. The stretch from base 213 to 563 matches the Rfam family "Microsporidia small subunit ribosomal RNA", at positions 752 to 1198 of the family's 1311-position model.
ACCGCGGUUAAACCAAGAUGAUCAAGUCAUAUAACUUCGGUGAAAAAACAGUUAAAUUAAAUUCAUGUUUAUAAAAUGUCUAUAGAAAAGUAAAAUUUGGUCAUAGACAAGAAAUCUAGCUUAAACUUAAAUAUUGAAGCUGUGAAAGCCUCGAGGGAAACUGGGAUUAGAUACCCCAUUAUUCUUGGAUGUAAACUGAUUUUUAUCUACCAGAGUACUAUGAAUUAAAUAUUUAAAACUUAAAGGGCUUGGCGGUGUUUUAGACCUCUCAGGGGAACCUGUCUCAUAAUCGACAAUCCACGCUAAACCUAACCCUUUUUUGUAUAUCAGCUUGUAUACCGUCGUCGUCAGGUAACUUUUUAGAAAAAAGAAGUUAGCAAAAAAAUAAAAUGGGUUUUCACGUCAGAUCAAGGUGCAGCUAAUAAAAGGGGGAGGAUGGGUUACAAUUAUAAAAUCGUAAUAACGGAAAGUUGUUUGGAACAAAAACAAGAAGGAGGACUUGAAAGUAAGAUAAAAUAUAUAAAUGUUCUGAAUAAGGCUCUGAAACGUGCACACAUCGCCCG